Molecule: long non-coding RNA, 151 nt
Organism: Haliotis rubra (blacklip abalone)
Lineage: Eukaryota; Metazoa; Mollusca; Gastropoda; Lepetellida; Haliotidae
Exons: 3
Source: RefSeq, a predicted model, not a curated record
UGUUGUUUAACGCCGCACUCAGCAAUAGUCCAGCUAUAUGGCGGGGGUCUGUAAAUAAUCGAGUCUGGACCAGACAGUCCAGUGAUCAACAUGAUGAACGUCGAUCUACACAAUGUGGGAUACGAUGACAUGUGUUAACAUGUCAGCCAGA